This 495-nucleotide ribosomal RNA is filed under the name uncultured bacterium. RNAcentral describes it as "partial 16S ribosomal RNA". It matches the Rfam family "Bacterial small subunit ribosomal RNA", at positions 28 to 507 of the family's 1533-position model. The record is from RNAcentral.
GACGAACGCUGGCGGCGUGCCUAAUACAUGCAAGUAGAACGCUGAAGGAGGAGCUUGCUUCUCUGGAUGAGUUGCGAACGGGUGAGUAACGCGUAGGUAACCUGCCUGGUAGCGGGGGAUAACUAUUGGAAACGAUAGCUAAUACCGCAUAAUAGUAGAUGUUGCAUGACAUUUGCUUAAAAGGUGCAAUUGCAUCACUACCAGAUGGACCUGCGUUGUAUUAGCUAGUUGGUGAGGUAACGGCUCACCAAGGCGACGAUACAUAGCCGACCUGAGAGGGGGAUCGGCCACACUGGGAAUGAGACACGGCCCAGACUCCUACGGGAGGCAGCAGUAGGGAAUCUUCGGCAAGGGACGGAAGUCUGACCGAGCAACGCCGCGUGAGUGAAGAAGGUUUUCGGAUCGUAAAGCUCUGUUGUAAGAGAAGAACGAGUGUGAGAGUGGAAAGUUCACACUGUGACGGUAUCUUACCAGAAAGGGACGGCUAACUACGUG